UAUAUAGACCAAUUGCGAAACUUAGUGACCGCGCCUUAAACUGCACGAAAACGAGGCUUGUUAUGCAAAAACAAAUCAUUCUGCUAUAUUUUUAUAUGGGGAAAAAUGAAUUUCAGUGUUUGAGACGCGUUUUUAUGGUAAUCUCUUCAUUUUUUUUCAAUAUUUCUGUUUUGCCUAUGUAAAUCUUUAUUAAACUUGUUCAUA
Paramuricea clavata is the source of this 204-nucleotide non-coding RNA. The record is from the annotation of a GenBank genome assembly. NCBI's taxonomy places the organism in Eukaryota, Metazoa, Cnidaria, Anthozoa, Malacalcyonacea, Plexauridae.